AUACGGAGGAUGCGAGCGUUAAUCGGAAUUACUGGGCGUAAAGGGUGCGUAGGCGGCUUGAUAAGUCGGAUGUGAAAGCCCCGGGCUUAACCUGGGAAUUGCAUUCGAUACUGUCAGGCUAGAGUAUGUCAGAGGUUGGCGGAAUUCCUGGUGUAGCGGUGAAAUGCGUAGAUAUCAGGAGGAACACCAGUGGCGAAGGCGGCUAACUGGGGCAAUACUGACGCUGAGGCACGAAAGCGUGGGGAGCAAACAGGAUUAGAAACCCUAGUAGUCC
RNAcentral lists this ribosomal RNA (274 nucleotides) under uncultured bacterium. RNAcentral's name for it is "partial 16S ribosomal RNA". It matches the Rfam family "Bacterial small subunit ribosomal RNA", at positions 523 to 796 of the family's 1533-position model. The record is from RNAcentral.